Molecule: unclassified non-coding RNA, 316 nt
Filed under: plant metagenome
Description: partial contains 5.8S ribosomal RNA, internal transcribed spacer 2, and large subunit ribosomal RNA
Rfam family: 5.8S ribosomal RNA (bases 1-105)
Source: RNAcentral
GAAAUGCGAUAACUAGUGUGAAUUGCAGAAUUCCGUGAAUCAUCGAGUCUUUGAACGCACAUUGCGCCCCCUGGUAUUCCGGGGGGCAUGCCUGUCCGAGCGUCAUUGCUGCCCAUCAAGCACGGCUUGUGUGUUGGGUCGUCGUCCCCUCUCCGGGGGGGACGGGCCCCAAAGGCAGCGGCGGCACCGCGUCCGAUCCUCGAGCGUAUGGGGCUUUUUCACCCGCUCUGUAGGCCCGGCCGGCGCUUGCCGAACGCAAAUCAAUCUUUUUCCAGGUUGACCUCGGAUCAGGUAGGGAUACCCGCUGAACUUAAGC